RNAcentral lists this long non-coding RNA (294 nucleotides) under Phaseolus vulgaris (common bean). RNAcentral describes it as "long non-coding RNA (PVUL_LNC004522)". Lineage: Eukaryota; Viridiplantae; Streptophyta; Magnoliopsida; Fabales; Fabaceae. The record is from RNAcentral.
CCACCUCCAAGAGCAAGAAUGGUCUCCCGGAACUUGUGCCCCGUUUCUUUAACAGCCUGUACAUUUUGAGUAAAACACAUAAUAAUCAAACUCAAACAUGUAACAAUAAAUAUAUAUACCAACUUGCAAUUUACAUGUAUGGCAACAAGCUGAGUAAAAUUAAGUAUUGCUGAAGUAUCAUUAAACAGGAUUAAUAAGGAGUAUUAAACAUGGAAAAUAGAGGAUUUUCUUUAUCAAACACAAAGGCAAGUCCAUAAAGAGUAAAGUACAACAAUAUUAACAGUAUACCUCCUC